GCCAUCAGUCAGACAAGGUUCCUGCUUGGAUGGAGCUCACCAUUCGUGGGAAAGACAGGUGGGGGGGACAGAUGAGGACAAGCAAGGACGAGCAGAACGCUUUUAGAGCUGGGUGAUGAUAGAAUCAGAGAGACAGAGACAGCACAAGCAGGGGGAGAGAGAGAGGAGAGAGAAGCAGUCUCCCCAC
Ailuropoda melanoleuca (giant panda) is the source of this 187-nucleotide long non-coding RNA. RefSeq lists it as uncharacterized. NCBI's taxonomy places the organism in Eukaryota, Metazoa, Chordata, Mammalia, Carnivora, Ursidae. The transcript is spliced from 3 exons. The record is from RefSeq and is a predicted model, not a curated record.